RNAcentral lists this transfer RNA (63 nucleotides) under Pronodularia japanensis. RNAcentral's name for it is "tRNA-Asp". The record is from RNAcentral. Lineage: Eukaryota; Metazoa; Mollusca; Bivalvia; Unionida; Unionidae.
AAAGAAUUAGUUAAUCCAUAACAUAAGCUUGUCGAGCUUCUAUUACCUGUAAGGUAUUCUUUU